Molecule: ribosomal RNA, 756 nt
Filed under: Flavobacterium sp.
Lineage: Bacteria; Pseudomonadati; Bacteroidota; Flavobacteriia; Flavobacteriales; Flavobacteriaceae
Description: bacterial SSU rRNA
Rfam family: Bacterial small subunit ribosomal RNA
Source: RNAcentral
AGAGACCGGCGCACGGGUGCGUAACGCGUAUGCAAUCUACCUUUUACAGAGGGAUAGCCCAGAGAAAUUUGGAUUAAUACCUCAUAGUAUAGCUGAAUCGCAUGAUUCUACUAUUAAAGUCACAACGGUAAAAGAUGAGCAUGCGUCCCAUUAGCUAGUUGGUAAGGUAACGGCUUACCAAGGCUACGAUGGGUAGGGGUCCUGAGAGGGAGAUCCCCCACACUGGUACUGAGACACGGACCAGACUCCUACGGGAGGCAGCAGUGAGGAAUAUUGGACAAUGGGCGCAAGCCUGAUCCAGCCAUGCCGCGUGCAGGAUGACGGUCCUAUGGAUUGUAAACUGCUUUUAUACGAGAAGAAACACUGCUUCGUGAAGCAGCUUGACGGUAUCGUAAGAAUAAGGAUCGGCUAACUCCGUGCCAGCAGCCGCGGUAAUACGGAGGAUCCAAGCGUUAUCCGGAAUCAUUGGGUUUAAAGGGUCCGUAGGCGGUUUAAUAAGUCAGUGGUGAAAGCCCAUCGCUCAACGGUGGAACGGCCAUUGAUACUGUUAAACUUGAAUUAUUAGGAAGUAACUAGAAUAUGUAGUGUAGCGGUGAAAUGCUUAGAGAUUACAUGGAAUACCAAUUGCGAAGGCAGGUUACUACUAAUGGAUUGACGCUGAUGGACGAAAGCGUGGGUAGCGAACAGGAUUAGAUACCCUGGUAGUCCACGCCGUAAACGAUGGAUACUAGCUGUUGGAAGCAAUCUCAGUGGCUA